CGUGUUGCACUCUCCUUUCCGUUGACGACUCACUAUUCCUCGUCUCAGUUAAAUCUCUAUUUUGACUUUGAAGCUACUCUUUUAAAAACGGAAACGAUGCUGCCAUCAAACACACAGAAUCCUCGUGAUUUGUCCGAUUCGUCAGACGACAUUACGUCAUCGGAAUCUUCUGAAGAAGACACGAGUUAUGAUGAAAGAUUUACAUGGUGGGAAGGAUACAACCCACAAAAGCAAUUCUACAAAUGAAGAUCGGAGAUCAAUAUCAAGUGGUAUCAAAAUAAUGAUCUGUCUUAAGCUCGCUGAAAAUGUAACAAUAUUAUUUAUAACUAUUUUCCUGAUGAUUCUGUUCAUAAUUAGGUAUUUAUAUAUGACUUUUAUAUUUUGGAACUAUAUUAACUCAUAAUACACUAUUGGAGGUGCCAUGUUUUUUUUACAAUAAAAAAUUAUCAUCAAUUCCUUUGUUUUCAAAUAUUAUCAGAUCGGCGAUUUGUCUGAAGCUUGUUGAAAAUGUAACAAUAUGGUUUGCAACUAUUUACUUGAUUAUUCUGUCCAUGAUUAGGUAAUUAUAAAUGACUUUAAAACUGGAUUGACUCAAAAUGUAUUAUUGUAGGUGCUAUCAAUUUUUUUGUGAUAAAGGUUAUCAUCAUUUAAUUACCUUCACUGAGGGUCAUUCAUGAAAGGGACAGUGCUUUAAAUUAAAUUUUGUCAAUUUCUGAGAAUCUGAUUAAAUAUUUUUUUCUUUCUAAUCAUGAUCCUAAUCAAUCGAUGACUCGCGGCCAAAAUUAGAAUUCAAAGCAUGGAUUAAUAAUUUCAUAUCUUAAUGCGAGAAAAAGUAUUCAUUCUAUUUUAAUUAUUUAAUCGUGAA
Long non-coding RNA from Parasteatoda tepidariorum (common house spider), 865 nucleotides. The record is from RefSeq and is a predicted model, not a curated record. NCBI's taxonomy places the organism in Eukaryota, Metazoa, Arthropoda, Arachnida, Araneae, Theridiidae.